This 634-nucleotide ribosomal RNA is filed under the name Hepatozoon felis. RNAcentral describes it as "SSU rRNA". It matches the Rfam family "Eukaryotic small subunit ribosomal RNA", at positions 185 to 806 of the family's 1831-position model. Lineage: Eukaryota; Apicomplexa; Hepatozoidae. The record is from RNAcentral.
AACUUUUUUAGAAGAGAUGCAUUUAUUAGAUAAAAAACCAAUACAUGCUUUUAAAGUAUGGGAAUUUGGUGAUUUACAAUAACUUAGCAAAUCGCAUAGUGAAAACAGGCGAUAAAUCAUUCAAGUUUCUGACCUAUCAGCUUUCGACGGUAUGGUAUUGGCUUACCGUGGCAGUGACGGUUAACGGGGGAUUAGGGUUCGAUUCCGGAGAGGGAGCCUGAGAAACGGCUACCACAUCUAAGGAAGGCAGCAGGCGCGCAAAUUACCCAAUUCUAACAGCAUAAGAGAGGUAGUGACAAGAAAUAACAAUACAAGGCAGUUAAAAUGCUUUGUAAUUGGAAUGAUAGAAAUUUAAACACUUUUUAAAGUAUCAAUUGGAGGGCAAGUCUGGUGCCAGCAGCCGCGGUAAUUCCAGCUCCAAUAGCGUAUAUUAAAAUUGUUGCAGUUAAAAAGCUCGUAGUUGAAUUUCUGCUAAAAAUAACCGGUCUGCUUUUAAUAAAGGUGGUAUCUUGGUGUGUUUUUAGCAAUAAUGUCCUUUGAAAUGUUUUUUACUUCAUUGUAAUAAAUUAUUUUCAGGAUUUUUACUUUGAGAAAAUUAGAGUGUUUCUAGCAGGCUAACGCUUUGAAUACUGCA